GAUGAACGCUGGCGGCGUGCCUAAUACAUGCAAGUCGAGCGAAUGGAUUAAGAGCUUGCUCUUAUGAAGUUAGCGGCGGACGGGUGAGUAACACGUGGGUAACCUGCCCAUAAGACUGGGAUAACUCCGGGAAACCGGGGCUAAUACCGGAUAACAUUUUGAACCGCAUGGUUCGAAAUUGAAAGGCGGCUUCGGCUGUCACUUAUGGAUGGACCCGCGUCGCAUUAGCUAGUUGGUGAGGUAACGGCUCACGAAGGCAACGAUGCGUAGCCGAGCUGGAAGGGGGAUCGGCCACACUGGGACUGAGACACGGCCCAGACUCCUACGGGAGGCAGCAGUAGGGAAUCUGCCGCAAUGGACGAAAGUCUGACGGAGCAACGCCGCGUGAGUGAUGAAGGCUUUCGGGUCGUAAAACUCUGUUGUUAGGGAAGAACAAGUGCUAGUUGAAUAAGCUGGCACCUUGACGGUACCUAACCAGAAAGCCACGGCUAACUACGUGCCAGCCGCCGCGGUAA
This 515-nucleotide ribosomal RNA is filed under the name uncultured bacterium. RNAcentral's name for it is "partial 16S ribosomal RNA". It matches the Rfam family "Bacterial small subunit ribosomal RNA", at positions 28 to 523 of the family's 1533-position model. The record is from RNAcentral.